AUUGAACGCUGGCGGCAGGCUUAACACAUGCAAGUCGAGCGGGGUGAUGGUGCUUGCACUAUCACUUAGCGGCGGACGGGUGAGUAAUGCUUAGGAAUCUGCCUAUUAGUGGGGGACAACAUCUCGAAAGGGAUGCUAAUACCGCAUACGUCCUACGGGAGAAAGCAGGGGAUCACUUGUGACCUUGCGCUAAUAGAUGAGCCUAAGUCGGAUUAGCUAGUUGGUGGGGUAAAGGCCUACCAAGGCGACGGUCUGUAGCGGGUCUGAGAGGAUGAUCCGCCACACUGGGACUGAGACACGGCCCAGACUCCUACGGGAGGCAGCAGUGGGGAAUAUUGGACAAUGGGGGGAACCCUGAUCCAGCCAUGCCGCGUGUGUGAAGAAGGCCUUAUGGUUGUAAAGCACUUUAAGCGAGGAGGAGGCUCUUUUGGUUAAUACCCAAGAUGAGUGGACGUUACUCGCAGAAUAAGCACCGGCUAACUCUGAGCCAGCAGCCGCAGUAA
This 503-nucleotide ribosomal RNA is filed under the name uncultured bacterium. Its description in RNAcentral is "partial 16S ribosomal RNA". It matches the Rfam family "Bacterial small subunit ribosomal RNA", at positions 30 to 523 of the family's 1533-position model. The record is from RNAcentral.